This 526-nucleotide ribosomal RNA is filed under the name Exiguobacterium sp. RNAcentral describes it as "bacterial SSU rRNA". It matches the Rfam family "Bacterial small subunit ribosomal RNA", at positions 349 to 866 of the family's 1533-position model. Lineage: Bacteria; Bacillati; Bacillota; Bacilli; Caryophanales. The record is from RNAcentral.
CAGCAGUAGGGAAUCUUCCACAAUGGACGAAAGUCUGAUGGAGCAACGCCGCGUGAACGAUGAAGGCUUUCGGGUCGUAAAGUUCUGUUGUAAGGGAAGAACAAGUGCCGCAGGCAAUGGCGGCACCUUGACGGUACCUUGCGAGAAAGCCACGGCUAACUACGUGCCAGCAGCCGCGGUAAUACGUAGGUGGCAAGCGUUGUCCGGAAUUAUUGGGCGUAAAGCGCGCGCAGGCGGCCUCUUAAGUCUGAUGUGAAAGCCCCCGGCUCAACCGGGGAGGGCCAUUGGAAACUGGGAGGCUUGAGUAUAGGAGAGAAGAGUGGAAUUCCACGUGUAGCGGUGAAAUGCGUAGAGAUGUGGAGGAACACCAGUGGCGAAGGCGACUCUUUGGCCUAUAACUGACGCUGAGGCGCGAAAGCGUGGGGAGCAAACAGGAUUAGAUACCCUGGUAGUCCACGCCGUAAACGAUGAGUGCUAGGUGUUGGAGGGUUUCCGCCCUUCAGUGCUGAAGCUAACGCAUUAAGCA